GUUUGUUAAGUAUUUAAUGUAUAUCUUUUCAUGUUUUUUGUUGUAAUUAUGAUUUAAAAGAGUGGUGACCAGACGUUCUGCAUGCUGAUUGGUCGAGUUGUUGGGUAAAUACCUGACAUUACUGCAUUCUAUCGACUGCCAUCUUUCCCCAAUGGGCGCACACACAUACAAACAGAAGCACACACAUACACACAUUUUUGUUACUUCUUUCUGUCUCUGGAAAUCAUCUAAAUUAUAGAGUAGGCUAGUAAUUUUGCAGUGCCCCUCUGUAGUGUCUUAUUAACAUGAGAGUGUAUGCCAUCUUCAUCGUGACAUUGUUUUAAAAACACAUGUCAGUCAAAAGGUGAGUACUAGACAAAGUAUUGAGUCCACCAUUCAACUAUCUACAGAUGGUAAUUCAGCCAUUAUUAGGAUGUUAAUGUCAAGUCUAUCCGUGAUCCAACUUCAGUCUCUCUUUAACAAGUUUCUCAGAUGAAUGCUGUCCAAUUCUCAAUGCAAUUCAACCAAGUAUAAUCAUUUAAUUGACCCAAAGACAAACACAAAUAACUAGUUACACAGCAGGGCUGGGCAAACUAAGGCCAGAGGGGCGAAUUAGGCUCACAAUCCGAUUCAAUAUGGCCCAUAGUGGAUUUGAAGAAAACACUUUGUUGGUCUCCCAAAAGGAACCCUAUUCUCUACAGUACACUAUACACAGAAUAUGAUGCCAUUCAGGAGGCCGACAAAGUGUUCCCUUAUCCAGAAUACUGCACAAUGUGUGGCUGGGACUAGUCCUGUGUUUGUACUGUGUGAGUCCUUUAAAUAAUUAAUGACAGAAUUAUAUCACGUAACCAUAGGAUGGCUUGAUGAGGACAUACUGUAGUUUAUAGAAACACUGAGAAAACCCUAUUUAGGCCGAUUCCAGGAUAUUACAUUUCUUUUUUCUAUUAACAAAUGUUCAUCAUAAUUUUCUAGCUCACACAGAAAAAUAUUUAAAAAAACAAACAAGAAAUCAUAUAAAAAAAUGUUUGUUAGAAAUAUUUCCAAAGCUAUUUCCACUGUUACCUGGCGUAUGGGUGAUUCUAUAUUUACUUGUGAUGCAUGUUGUGGUCAUCUGGUUGUAUUUUACACCUUGGUCUGUACAGUGGUUCAUGUUUUGACUGUGUGUGUGUAUGUGGCAGAGUGAAGUGGGGUGAGGUGAUAACCCACAUACAGUACAUAGUGACAUAGUACCCCUAUCCUUCUCACGGCCCCCCCCCCCAUCCCUCCCUCAAUCCUUCUCCUUAUCCCUCCCUCCUUCCCUCAAUAUACAAAAGAUCAGUCUACCACACACACAGACACACACACAGACACACACACAGACACACACACACAGACACACAAUAACGUAUGUCAGCGUGGUAGAGACAUAACUAAACACACACAAGACUGUCCUGUGAGAAAGAGGCCUCGAUAAGGUUGGUGGUGGAUGUUGUGUGUGUGUGUGUGUGUGUGUGUGUAUGUGUGCGUGUGUGUGAGUGCAUGUGCGAGCGCUAGACUGAAGGGAUUUGAGGGUCACGCAAGCAUCCAUUCAUAUAAAUAUGUCACCAAAAAAUGCAACCCAAAUAAAAAACAGCAGGACUUCAUUUUCAUAAACACAGACAUAAACAUUUACUGUAUGUGCAUUAUAAACAUGUCAUAUAUAUAUAUAAAUGUGUGUGUGUCUGUGUACACCGAUCAGCCAUAAUAUGGCAGCUGCUAUGACCACCUUCCUAAAAUCCCUAUUUUGCCACCAAAACAGCCCUGACCCGUCAAGGCAUGGACUCCACUAGACCUCUGAAGUUGUGCUGUGGUAUCUGGCACCAAGAUGUAAGCAACAGAUCUUAUAAGUCCUGUAAGUUACAAAGUGGGGCCUCCAUGGAUUGGACCUUUUUUUUUCUCCAGCACAUCCCACAGAUGCUCGAUUGGAUUGAGACCUUGGGAAUUUGGAGGCCACGUCAACACUUUCAACCCGCUGUUGUAUUCCUCUAACUAUUCCAGAACCAGUUCUGUGACAGGGCGCAUUAUCCUGCUGAAACAGGCCAAUGCCAUCAGGGAAUACCGUUGCCAUGAAAGGGUGCACAUGGUCUGCAACAAUGCUCAGGUAGGUGGUACAUGUCAAAGUAACAUCCACAUGAAUGGCAGGACCCAAGGUUUCCCAGCAGAACAUUGCCCAAAGCAUCACACUGCCUCCACCGGCUUGCCCCCUUCCCAUUGUGCAUCCUGGUGCCAUGUGUUCUCCAGGUAAGCAACGCACAUGUACCCGACCAUCCAUGUGUUGUAAAAGAAAACGUGAUUCAUCAGACCAGGCCACCUUCUUCCAUUGCUCAGUGGUCCAGUUCUGAUGCUCACGUGCCCAUUGUAGGCGCUUUUGGCAUUGGACAGGGGUCAACAUGGGCAUCCCCAAACAUAACAAACUGCAAUGUAUUGUGUGUUCUGACACCUUUCUAUCAGUACCAGCAUUCACUUUUACAGCAAUUCACUUUUACAGCAAUUUGAGCUACAGUAUCUCGUCUGUUGGAUCGGAUCACACGGGCCAGCCUUCACUCCCCACGUGCAUCAAUGAGCCUUGGCCGCCCACGAUCCUGUCGCCGGUUCACCGCUGUUCCUUCCUUGGACAACCUUUGAUAGGUACUGAGCACUGCAGACCGGGAACACCCCACAAGGGCUGCAGUUUUGGACAUGCUCUGAACCAGUUGUCUAGGCGUCACAAUUUGGCCCUUGUCAAAGUCACUCAGAUCCUUACGCUUGCCCAAUUUUUCCUGCUUCUAGCACCUCAUCUUUGAGGACAGAAUGUCCACUUGCUGCCUAAUAUAUCCCACCCACUGACAGGUGCCAUGAAAACGAGAUUAUCAGUGUUAUUCACUUCACCUGUCAGUGGUCAUAAUGUAAUGGCUGAUCAGUGUAUAUGCCCUAUUGCAUUGAAAACACACACAUUCAUAUACACAUACACAAAUACACACACAUACAUACAGACCUGCACAUACACAAACAUUUACUCGGACAUAAAGACAAUUUGCACCUGAAAUGGCAGUCUAUUCCCUUAUAUUGUCUAGUCCCAAUGUAGUGCACUACAGAGAGAAUAGUGUUCCAUUAGGGAAAAAGAAACAGACAUUCUGAAUUAUAAAGUAUAUUGUCUAAGAAGGCAUUGAGGAAAUAUUGCUGAAAU
Long non-coding RNA from Esox lucius (northern pike), 3163 nucleotides. Lineage: Eukaryota; Metazoa; Chordata; Actinopteri; Esociformes; Esocidae. The record is from Ensembl.